GAUGAAGAACGUAGCGAAAUGCGAUACUUGGUGUGAAUUGCAGAAUCCCGUGAACCAUCGAGUCUUUGAACGCAAGUUGCGCCCGAAGCCAUUAGGCCGAGGGCACGUCUGCCUGGGCGUCACACGUCGUUGCCCCCCCAUCUACUCCUUCGGGAUUGCGGGGGGCGGAUGAUGGCCUCCCGUGCGCCUCGUCGCGCGGUUGGCAUAAAUGCCAAGUCCUCGGCGACGCACGCCACGACAAUCGGUGGUUGCGAAACCUCGGUUGCCCGUCGUGUGCGGUCGUCGCGCAUCGAGGGCUCGAAAAAAUUGCCGGGCUCCGGCUCGGCUUUCAACGCGACCCCAGGUCAGGCGGGGUUACCCGCUGAAUUUAAGCAUAUCAAUAAGCGGAGGA
RNAcentral lists this unclassified non-coding RNA (391 nucleotides) under soil metagenome. Its description in RNAcentral is "partial contains 5.8S ribosomal RNA, internal transcribed spacer 2, and large subunit ribosomal RNA". The stretch from base 1 to 122 matches the Rfam family "5.8S ribosomal RNA", at positions 35 to 154 of the family's 154-position model. The record is from RNAcentral.